UACCGCUUACACCCGGCAGGGGAAAGCAGGGGAUCUUCGGACCUUGCGCUAAUAGAUGAUCCUAAGUCGGAUUAGCUAGUUGGUGGGGUAAAGGCCUACCAAGGCGACGAUCUGUAGCGGGUCUGAGAGGAUGAUCCGCCACACUGGGACUGAGACACGGCCCAGACUCCUACGGGAGGCAGCAGUGGGGAAUAUUGGACAAUGGGCGGAAGCCUGAUCCAGCCAUGCCGCGUGUGUGAAGAAGGCCUUUUGGUUGUAAAGCACUUUAAGCGAGGAGGAGGCUCCUUUAGUUAAUACCUAAAGAGAGUGGACGUUACUCGCAGAAUAAGCACCGGCUAACUCUGUGCCAGCAGCCGCGGUAAUACAGAGGGUGCGAGCGUUAAUCGGAUUUACUGGGCGUAAAGCGUGCGUAGGCGGCUUUUUAAGUCGGAUGUGAAAUCCCUGAGCUUAACUUAGGAAUUGCAUUCGAUACUGGAAAGCUAGAGUAUGGGAGAGGAUGGUAGAAUUCCAGGUGUAGCGGUGAAAUGCGUAGAGAUCUGGAGGAAUACCGAUGGCGAAGGCAGCCAUCUGGCCUAAUACUGACGCUGAGGUACGAAAGCAUGGGGAGCAAACAGGAUUAGAUACCCUGGUAGUCCAUGCCGUAAACGAUGUCUACUAGCCGUUGGGGCCUUUGAGGCUUUAGUGGCGCAGCUAACGCGAUAAGUAGACCGCCUGGGGAGUACGGUCGCAAGACUAAAACUCAAAUGAAUUGACGGGGGCCCGCACAAGCGGUGGAGCAUGUGGUUUAAUUCGAUGCAACGCGAAGAACCUUACCUGGCCUUGACAUACUAAGAACUUUCCAGAGAUGGAUUGGUGCCUUCGGGAACUUAGAUACAGGUGCUGCAUGGCUGUCGUCAGCUCGUGUCGUGAGAUGUUGGGUUAAGUCCCGCAACGAGCGCAACCCUUUUCCUUAUUUGCCAUCGGGUAAUGCCGGGAACUUUAAGGAUACUGCCAGUGACAAACUGGAGGAAGGCGGGGACGACGUCAAGUCAUCAUGGCCCUUACGGCCAGGGCUACACACGUGCUACAAUGGUCGGUACAAAGGGUUGCUACCUCGCGAGAGGAUGCUUAAUCUCAAAAAGCCGAUCGUAGUCCGGAUCGCAGUCUGCAACUCGA
RNAcentral lists this ribosomal RNA (1155 nucleotides) under uncultured bacterium. RNAcentral describes it as "bacterial SSU rRNA". It matches the Rfam family "Bacterial small subunit ribosomal RNA", at positions 167 to 1315 of the family's 1533-position model. The record is from RNAcentral.